AUCAAAAACCUUCAUAAACACUUGGUAAUAGAUAUUCACUGAUAAUAAUCAGUCACAUUAAAGGAAAAGCUGAUGGACUACAGGCUCUGCUUGUUGAUACUGUCCUCUUCCGUUGCUUAGUAGAAAUUUCUGGCCUAAUCUUUUUGGGAGUUCUUACUUCCUCUUGAACACUUCCACCAGAUAAUUUGAAUUCAGACAAUCCAAAGGAUUUUAUUCUUGAGGGUCAAUGAUCCUGUAUCUUUCAGAUACAUUAUACUUUUUUAUUAUUUUUAAUGUGCAUAAACAUUUUUUUUUGUUUGUUUUGUUUUACAAUAGCUGAAAUGGACAUGUAAUGAAAUUUUACUGGGCCAUUUUUCUCAGAGAACUUUGAAAAAGAGUUAAACAUUAUUUUCCUUAUUUUUUUAACUGUUGGUAUUUUGGAAGAAAACCUGCUAGAACCAUGCAGCUGAGCCCUCACACACACUAUUGUGGAAAUUAAUCAUCUGCCUGCUAUAAAAUAUAGCCUAAGCUGUGAUAAUCACUAACUUUGUCAGAAAAGCCACUCUUUAAUCAAAGGCAUGAUUUAGCAUGUAACAUUAUAAGGAGCAAUUGAUACACUUUGAGACCAAAACUCAUUGAAUUUGUAGUUUUUCCUUUUAUGGUAGAAAUGAAUGGUCAUAUAUUUUUCCCUUUUCAAGAAAAGCUAAAGGUUUAAGCCAACAAGAAAAUAUUUCCACACUGAACUGGUUUGUGGAUAUCUUUCCAGAAGCUUUUGAUUUAACACUGUUAAACUCAUUACCUUUUUUUUUUUUUUUUUUUUUUUUUUUUUCUAUGGUGGAUCAAAACCAGGAUCUCCAAAAAUACUACUACCGUUCUCAGAUUGCCUACUGACUGUAUGAAAGAAUCAGAUUGAGGUAAACUCCUCCUAGGUAUCACAGCCAGUUUGGACACUGGCCGAGCCACAUGCCCUUUGGUAUCUUCUUAAAUGCAGAAGCCAAAUUUGCAAUUUGCUCUGAAAAUAUGUCUGGGACUUAAAUAUUUUCAGAGCUGCUUAGAAUGUCAACUUUUGGCAUGUUUACUCUCCAGCUGUGAGACACAGCAUAACACAUCAAGUGAUAAAAAUGGUGAAUGAAUUAGACUUUAGGCACUAAAUAGACUUUCAGACAACUUCUGACAAGAGAAGCUCAAGUCUUUGAAAGGAGAAACUGGGUCACUAGAUAUCUUUCUAUGAAGAUCACUCAGUUUACAAAGAACCCAAUGCAACACUACUUCCCAUCUGGAAGUGAAGACGUGCUGUAUGUAGCAAUCUGGUAUAGUGUUAUCAUGGAGCAUUUUCUAGUGCUUGAGGGAUAAAUAAAUAAGUAAAGGCCUGAUUUCCCAAUGAGUACAAGAAAUUCCAUUUCAGACACCUAAGACAGUGGCCAGAUUUCCCAGACUGCCCAGCCUCCAGCAGUUUCUAGAAUAAGCAGUGAGAGCUACUUGUUGAAAGUCUGGCACCAUCUGCUCCAGAGCUGCACUUUUCCAUUUUAUCCAGGCUGGAAUAUCGUACACACACAGUAAUGGUUACAACAUCCUGGGUGCCAGGCACAAUCAUGUGAUGGGCAGGAUAUUUCACAGCUGCUCUUAAGUAACCAGCAUUCAAAACUUUACAUACUCACAGAUCAUUACUAUCUGAGACUUUGCUAAAGAAAGUCCAAGGACUCUGGGUAGUGCUGAAGUAAUUUCCUGCAUGGCAAAUUUUGUGGACAAAUCCAUCACCUGUGUACUGUUGGAAUGCUGUGUGCUAUCAUAGGCCUUUUGUGUAAGGUGCGAAAGAUAGACCCAAGUGAUUGGCAAAGGCCCCAGGGUACUCUUUUUAACGACACAAAUAUUAACUCCCAAAACUGAGCCAUACUCAAGUGUGGAUAAUAAUCACUUAAAUUUCUCCAGAGGGUUCAGUUAAAACAAGCAUUUGUGUUGCUUUCCUUCUCCAUACAACCUUCCAAAAUACAGUAUAGUCUGUCCAUCUCCCCAAAGCAGUAGCUAGAUUUCAUUAGUGAGCAAUAUAGAAACUCUGGAGAGCAAUAUAAUGCUAUACUGAAUGUAGGUCACUAUUAAUCAUUAAUGAUGUAGGGCUCUAAAAAUGGUACAAACAUCACAUACCAUCAGGUUGAGUUUACAUGGAUAACAAUGACACUGGGUAUUCAUUCCAAUUUGUUAAAAUUGAAUGUGUGUCUGGUUGUAGAAAAUGACUGAGUUCUGCCAGAAUUUAAGUUUUCAUUUUUUAUCUCCACAGGGGAACAUAAACCGGUGAUGAUUUUUUUUCCAAUGCUCAAGUUGUUAGAUCCUAAAUUUCCAGCUGCUCAUACUGACACCUUUUCAGGGACUCUCUGUGAACAAUUUAAUCAUUUCUUUCAGCAGAAAAACUGACUCCAUUACAGUGCAGUGGCCCAGAGGACCAGCAGCAGCUGUUAAAAUGCAAUCACUGUUGAGCUCAUAUAAAUUGUUAUAAAAGUUCUUUCACUGUUUCUGUAUUUAAACUUGCUAAAGUACAUCCAGUAAAUGCAUCCAAAUUCUCCUUUAGAUGCUUGCUCCUACUAGGGUUAUGAAAGAAGGUCUCUCUGUAGCAGUCUUUGUGUUGGUCUUUUAUCCUUGGUAAUGUUCCAGCUACUCUGAAAAUGGUAAUUAUUAAUUCACUGUGGGUGGAAAAAAAAAAAAAAAAAAAAAAAAAA
Non-coding RNA from Anas platyrhynchos (mallard), 2690 nucleotides. Lineage: Eukaryota; Metazoa; Chordata; Aves; Anseriformes; Anatidae. The record is from RefSeq and is a predicted model, not a curated record.